GACGAACGCUGGCGGCGUGCUUAACACAUGCAAGUCGAACGGAAAGGCCCUGCUUUUGUGGGGUGCUCGAGUGGCGAACGGGUGAGUAACACGUGAGUAACCUGCCCUUGACUUUGGGAUAACUUCAGGAAACUGGGGCUAAUACCGGAUAGGAGCUCCUGCUGCAUGGUGGGGGUUGGAAAGUUUCGGCGGUUGGGGCUGGACUCGCGGCUUAUCAGCUUGUUGGUGGGGUAGUGGCUUACCAAGGCUUUGACGGGUAGCCGGCCUGAGCGGGUGACCGGCCACAUAGGGGCUGAGGUACAGCGCAGUCUCCUACGGGAGGCAGUGGGGGGGAAUAUUGCACAAUGGGCCGAAGCCUGACGCAGCAACGCCGCGUGCGGGAUGACGGCCUUCGGGUUGUAGUCCGCUUCCGCAUGUGACGAAGCGUGAGAGACGGUAAUGGGUAAAGAAGCACCGGCUAACUACGUG
Molecule: ribosomal RNA, 468 nt
Filed under: uncultured bacterium
Lineage: Bacteria
Description: partial 16S ribosomal RNA
Rfam family: Bacterial small subunit ribosomal RNA
Source: RNAcentral